Molecule: non-coding RNA, 23 nt
Filed under: Arabidopsis thaliana (thale cress)
Lineage: Eukaryota; Viridiplantae; Streptophyta; Magnoliopsida; Brassicales; Brassicaceae
Source: RNAcentral
AGAAAAGUUGGUGAGGAUUCUGA